UCCCGUUGAUCCUGCGGGAGAUCACUGCUCGAGGGAUUCGUUAAUCAUGCAAGUCUAAGCUUCGGCUUGGCGGAAGGCUCAGUAACACGUCAGUAAUCUGUCCUUAGGUAUGGCAUAACUUCGGGAAACUGAAGGUAAUUCCAUAUAGGCGAUGCAUACUGGAAUGUAGCAUCGUUUAAAGCUUCGGCGCCUAAGGGUGAGCUGGCGGCAGAUUAGCUUGUAGGUGGUGUAAAGGACCACCUAGGCUAUGAUCUGUAAGGGGGGUGAGAGCCCGAGCCCUGAGAAGGACACUGAGACAAGGGUCCUAGCCCUACGGGGUGCAGCAGAUACGAAUCCUCUACAAUGCGCGAAAGCGUGAUAGGGGAAUCCCUCGUGCUGGCGUUAUACGUCAGCUUUUUUAGAGCGUAUUAACUCUGAGAAUAAGGGGUGGGCAAGACCGGUGCCAGCCGCCGCGGUAAUCCCGGCGCCCCAAGUGGUGAUCAGUUUUAUUGGGUCUAAAGCGUCCGUAGCUGGUUAGCUAAGUUUUUAGUGAAAUCUAAUGGCUCAACCAUUAGGCUUGCUAGAAAUACUGGCUGACUUGAGAUCGGGAGGAGCUAGAGGAAUGCCUUGGGGUGCGGUAAAAUGCUGUAAUCCAAGGUGGACCAUCGGUAGCGAAGGCGUCUAGCUAGAACGAGUCUGACAGUCAGGGACGAAAGCCAGGGGAGCAAAACGGAUUAGAUACCCGUGUAGUCCUGGCCGUAAACGCUGCUUGUUUGGCGUUGCGCGUUUUUCGAAAGCGUGCAGUGCCGAAGCGAAGGUAUUAAACAAGCCACCUGGGAAGUACGGUCGCAAGGCUGAAACUUAAAGGAAUAGGCGGGGGAGUACUACAAGAGGUGCUUGCUGCGGUUUAAUUGGAUUCCACGCCUGAAACCUUACCAGCAGCGACAGCAGGAUGAAGGUCGGCCUAAAUGGCCCACUCGACACGCUGAGCGGUGUUACAUAGCCGCCGUCAGCUCGUGCCGUGAGGUGUUCGGUUAAGUCCGAGAACGAGCAAGACCUACGUCUCUAGUUGCUAGCGGUUUUUUUGGAAAUCGCGCACACUGGAGAGACCGCCUGGGUAACCAGGAGGAAGGUGUAGGCUACGGUAGGUCGGUAUGGCCCUAAUCUGCUGGGCUACACGCGGCAGGCAAUGGUUAGAACAACGGGAUGCAACUCCGAGAGGAGAAGCCAAUCCCUUAAAUCUAAUCCUGUCUGAAUCGAGAGCUGCAACUCGCUCUCGUGAAAGCGAAAUCUCUAGUAAACGUGCGUUAGCAUCGUGCGUUGAAUACGUCCCUGUUCCUUGCACUCACUGCCUGUCAACUCAUCCAAAUGAGGUUUGAAUGAGGC
This 1365-nucleotide ribosomal RNA is filed under the name metagenome. RNAcentral describes it as "bacterial SSU rRNA". It matches the Rfam family "Archaeal small subunit ribosomal RNA". The record is from RNAcentral.